Molecule: ribosomal RNA, 720 nt
Filed under: uncultured archaeon
Lineage: Archaea
Description: bacterial SSU rRNA
Rfam family: Archaeal small subunit ribosomal RNA
Source: RNAcentral
CCCGAUAGAUCAUUAUGCCUGGAAUGGUUUAUGAUCCAAAUGAAUUCCGCCAUAGGAUGGGACUGCGGUCUAUCAGCUUGUUGGUGAGGUAAUGGCCCACCAAGGCUAUAACAGAUACGGGCUCUGAGAGGAGAAGCCCGGAGAUGGGUACUGAGACACGGACCCAGGUCCUAUGGGGCGCAGCAGGCGAGAAAACUUUGCAAUGUGCGAAAGCACGACAAGGUUAAUCCGAGUGUUUCCUGCUAAAGGAAUCUUUUGUCAGUCAUAACACCACUGAUGAAUAAGGGGUGGGCAAGUUCUGGUGUCAGCCGCCGCGGUAAAACCAGCACCUCAAGUGGUCAGGAGGAUUAUUGGGCCUAAAGCAUCCGUAGCCUGCUUUGUUAGUUUUCGGUUAAAUCCAUAUGCUCAACAUAUGGGCUGCCGGGAAUACUACAUAGCUAGGGAGUGGGAGAGGUAGACGGUACUCCAUAGGAAGGGGUAAAAUCCUUUGAUCUAUGGAAGACCACCAGUGGCGAAGGCGGUCUACCAGAACACGUUCGACGGUGAGGGAUGAAAGCUGGGGGAGCAAACCGGAUUAGAUACCCGGGUAGUCCCAGCUGUAAACUAUGCAAACUCAGUGAUACAUUGGCUUGUGGCCAAUGUAGUGCCGCAGGGAAGCCGUUAAGUUUGCCGCCUGGGAAGUACGUACGCAAGUAUGAAACUUAAAGAAAUUGGCGGGGG